Molecule: ribosomal RNA, 279 nt
Filed under: uncultured bacterium
Lineage: Bacteria
Description: partial 16S ribosomal RNA
Rfam family: Bacterial small subunit ribosomal RNA
Source: RNAcentral
UGCCAGCAGCCGCGGUAAUACGUACUGUGCAAACGUUAUUCGGAAUCACUGGGCUUAAAGGGUGCGUAGGCGGUCGAUUAAGUAGGGUGUGAAAUGCCUCGGCUCAACCGAGGCACUGCGCUCUAAACUGGUCGGCUUGAGUGAGAUAGGGGUGUGUGGAACUUCCAGUGGAGCGGUGAAAUGUGUUGAUAUUGGAAGGAACGCCGGUGGCGAAAGCGACACACUGGGUCUCAACUGACGCUGAGGCACGAAAGCCAGGGUAGCGAACGGGAUUAGAUA